RNAcentral lists this transfer RNA (74 nucleotides) under Halolamina salina. RNAcentral's name for it is "tRNA-Arg". It matches the Rfam family "tRNA". From Rfam's summary of the family: Transfer RNA (tRNA) molecules are approximately 80 nucleotides in length. The record is from RNAcentral. Lineage: Archaea; Methanobacteriati; Methanobacteriota; Halobacteria; Halobacteriales; Haloferacaceae. RNAcentral also lists the same sequence under 2 other names.
GGGCGCGUAGCUCAGCUGGACAGAGCGUCGGACUUCUAAUCCGGUGGUCGUGGGUUCGAAUCCCACCGCGCCCG